UAGGGAAUCUUCCACAAUGGACGCAAGUCUGAUGGAGCAACGCCGCGUGAGUGAAGAAGGGUUUCGGCUCGUAAAGCUCUGUUGUUAAAGAAGAACGUGGGUAAGAGUAACUGUUUACCCAGUGACGGUAUUUAACCAGAAAGCCGCGGCUAACUACGUGCCAG
This 164-nucleotide ribosomal RNA is filed under the name uncultured bacterium. RNAcentral describes it as "partial 16S ribosomal RNA". It matches the Rfam family "Bacterial small subunit ribosomal RNA", at positions 355 to 511 of the family's 1533-position model. The record is from RNAcentral.